AGGACGAACGCUGGCGGCGUGCUUAACACAUGCAAGUCGAGCGAAGUCCAACCGGUGGCAACACCGGGGAAGGCUUAGCGGCGAACGGGUGAGUAAUACAUAAGCAACGUGCCCCGACGACCGGGAUAGCCCCUCGAAAGAGGGAUUAAUACCGGAUGUGGCCUUUUUGAGGCAUCUCAGAAAGACUAAAACGAGUAAUCGGCAUCGGGAGCGGCUUGUGGCCUAUCAGCUUGUUGGUGGGGUAACGGCCUACCAAGGCUUCGACGGGUAGCGGGUCUGAGAGGACGAUCCGCCCGACUGGGACUGAGACACGGCCCAGACUCCUACGGGAGGCAGCAGUUGGGAAUCUUGCACAAUGGGCGAAAGCCUGAUGCAGCGACGCCGCGUGGAGGACGAAGUCUCUAGGGAUGGUAAACUCCCUUUGCCAGGAAGGAUAAUGACGGUACCUGGUGAAUAAGCCCCGGCUAACGUACGUGCCAGCAGCCGC
RNAcentral lists this ribosomal RNA (487 nucleotides) under uncultured bacterium. RNAcentral describes it as "SSU rRNA". It matches the Rfam family "Bacterial small subunit ribosomal RNA", at positions 26 to 518 of the family's 1533-position model. The record is from RNAcentral.